UUCAACUCCUCUAGCAAGCAUCUGCCUAAACAUGAUCCACUUCAAAACGAACAUAAACAAAAACAAAUCACUUUAGAGAUCUCAAUGCUAGAACGAGAAACUGUCUUUUUAUUAUUAUUUUAUUUUAUUUUAUUAAAUAAAAUGCUGGCGCUAUUUAUAUAGUAGCGCUAUCGUCUCUCUGCGUCACGUGUCCUUUUAUUAUUGGGUUGUAAAUCUUGCGGUGUUUUAUACAUCUAUCCCGCGUGGUAACUUUAUAAUGUCUUGUAUAUAAAUAAUAUUUCCCCAUGACAGUUUAUUAUUUAUGUUAGACCGACAUCGAUAUCUAAUAUUCUUAUGAGUUUCAUCUGAUCCAAAUUUUGUCUAAAUACUGUCAGAAUGUCAGUUGCUCGUGGUCAUCUUUGGUCUCCUGGCCGGUGUAGUUUAUUUGAAAAUUUGGAAUAAAUAACGGUUUUAAGUUACCGUUAAACGGUGUAAAUAACUCAGAAGAGCUGGAGGGCCUCCUGACACGGCCGAACCGGACAACGCCGUUAUUCAGCAGGUAGAUACUUGCAUUAAACUGUCUUCCUGGUAUAUUUCAUGCAUUUGAUAUUGAUUACGUGAGAUGACGUUAUCAGUUAUAGCUGUAAAAGUGUCAUUUACACGUGUCAUUUACAGUUAUGGCUAGCAUAAGCGUUAUUCGUAGAGCUUUUGGGUUAAAGUACUUAUUUUAUUUUCAUAAUUAGCCUACUACGCCUUUGAUUAAAUUGAAGUAAUAUAAUGUCGCUUAUCAGGACACAGCUGAGCAGAAACAGGCAUUUAAACAUCCAGCUAUCAUCGCAGCUUUAUGUGUGGUUAAUGACUGAAUCCAGAACCCACAGGUGGGCCUUUUAUUGCUUAGCAAAGUGGUGGGAUCCAAGAGACCCGGAGACCUUUAAGCCCCCCUACAAGCAACUUGAGUUGUCUCCAGUUGUUUGGGACUGUUCUUCACGACCUGAACAAUCCCACGCUCUCUACUACUGCAUUCUCACUCUUACUGCCAUCACAGAGGAGAUGGUUUGUCCUGCUUCUUCUGACUGA
This 1056-nucleotide long non-coding RNA is filed under the name Carassius auratus (goldfish). Its description in RNAcentral is "lncRNA (ENSCARG00000050077.1)". Lineage: Eukaryota; Metazoa; Chordata; Actinopteri; Cypriniformes; Cyprinidae. The record is from RNAcentral.